GUGCGAGACCGAUAGCGAACAAGUACCGUGAGGGAAAGAUGAAAAGAACUUUGAAAAGAGAGUUAAAGAGUACCUGAAACUGCUGAAAGGGAAGCGAAUCGUAUCCAGUGUCUAUAAUCUGCGGCAUAUUUCAUUGGCGGCAGUGUGCGUGCUUUUGCGUCGGAAGCGGCUUUUGUUGCUCUGUGCUUUUGCUGUGCGUGCUGUUGCUGGUGCCCUGUGUUGCGGUGGGACGUCAGAGUCAGUUCGUAUGCUGCGGGAAAUGGCCGCCGAGGAGGUAGGUCAGGACUUCGGUCUUGGCUGUUAUAUCUUGGUGGUUUGUUGUCGUGGUUGGGACUGAGGUGCCUACAAUGUGCUUUUGAGUGUGCCGGGUUCUCAUUUGGUGGACUGUUUGGAUAGCUUGCUAUGCUUGUGGUUUUUUCAUCGAGUGAUUGAGUCUGGUGGUAACUUGUUGCUGUUCGGGACUUUGA
RNAcentral lists this ribosomal RNA (467 nucleotides) under uncultured Oomycota. Its description in RNAcentral is "LSU rRNA". It matches the Rfam family "Eukaryotic large subunit ribosomal RNA", at positions 326 to 629 of the family's 3401-position model. Lineage: Eukaryota; Oomycota. The record is from RNAcentral.